Non-coding RNA from Notechis scutatus (mainland tiger snake), 800 nucleotides. The record is from RefSeq and is a predicted model, not a curated record. Lineage: Eukaryota; Metazoa; Chordata; Lepidosauria; Squamata; Elapidae.
UCCUACAACAAAGUGUGGGAUGCUUUGAGGUGGGGUUGUUUUUGAAGUUAUCAAAAGGGAUUAACAAAUAACAUUACUUAUCUUUAUAAACCUGGUGUACAGCAUGUUUCUUAGUCUUUCUCCAUGAUUAUUUUCUUAGAAGAAGAGGUGAUCUCCAUGAAAUGGGCAGCAUUUCACUGCACAAUUUCCUUGCUGUUGUAAUCUGUUUUUUAUUUCCAGUGAAGGAAAAGGCAUUUUAAUGAGAAUGGAGGAGGUGGGAGGGGAGCAAACCACUGGGUUUGCCUUCCCCCCCCAGCAGCAUCAAUUCAGCUGUUGCACACUUUUUUUUUUUGUUUAUCUUCAGUUGGCAGUCCAGUUCCUUUUCACACCAAAGAAUCCACCAGUCGAAAGUCCUUCUCCAAAGGGCAGCCCUCAGUGGGUUGCAUUAACCCUUUGGAUUCCACUAGCCCGAAAGUAAAGCGGGGAAAAGAGAGAGAACUCUCAAAGUUGAAGCGUCCUACAGCACUGAAAAAGGUUAUUUUGAAAGAGAGAGAAGAAAAGAAAGGACGGUUAACAACAGAUCACAGCCUUUUGGGAGGUGAUGAAGAGCAAGAGGUGACUCUGACUUCUAACCAGGCAGAAGAACUAACAUCUCAAGAAGAAACUGGUUUGAGCGUGCCGAGUGACACCUCCCUCUCUCCAGCAAGCCAGAAUUCUCCCUACUGCAUGACUCCUGUCUCCCAAGGUUCCCCUGCAAGUUCAGGGAUAGGAAGCCCCAUGGCAUCGUCAACUAUAACCAAAAUCCACAGCAAAAGAUUCAG